GAAGGGUGCAAGCGUUACUCGGAAUUACUGGGCGUAAAGCGUGCGUAGGUGGUUGUUUAAGUCUGUUGUGAAAGCCCUGGGCUCAACCUGGGAACUGCAGUGGAAACUGGACAACUAGAGUGUGGUAGAGGGUAGCGGAAUUCCCGGUGUAGCAGUGAAAUGCGUAGAGAUCGGGAGGAACAUCCAUGGCGAAGGCAGCUACCUGGACCAACACUGACACUGAGGCACGAAAGCGUGGGGAGCAAACAGGAUUAGAUACCCUGGUAGUCCACGCCCUAAACGAUGCGAACUGGAUGUUGGGUGCAAUUUGGCACGCAGUAUCGAAGCUAACGCGUUAAGUUCGCCGCCUGGGGAGUACGGUCGCAAGACUG
Molecule: ribosomal RNA, 371 nt
Filed under: uncultured bacterium
Lineage: Bacteria
Description: bacterial SSU rRNA
Rfam family: Bacterial small subunit ribosomal RNA
Source: RNAcentral